This 427-nucleotide ribosomal RNA is filed under the name uncultured bacterium. Its description in RNAcentral is "bacterial SSU rRNA". It matches the Rfam family "Bacterial small subunit ribosomal RNA", at positions 355 to 774 of the family's 1533-position model. The record is from RNAcentral.
UGGGGAAUUUUGGACAAUGGGCGCAAGCCUGAUCCAGCAAUGCCGCGUGCAGGAUGAAGGCCUUCGGGUUGUAAACUGCUUUUGUACGGAGCGAAAAGGUCUGCCCUAAUACGGUGGGCUCAUGACGGUACCGUAAGAAUAAGCACCGGCUAACUACGUGCCAGCAGCCGCGGUAAUACGUAGGGUGCGAGCGUUAAUCGGAAUUACUGGGCGUAAAGCGUGCGCAGGCGGUUAUAUAAGACAGAUGUGAAAUCCCCGGGCUCAACCUGGGACCUGCAUUUGUGACUGUAUAGCUAGAGUACGGUAGAGGGGGAUGGAAUUCCACGUGUAGCAGUGAAGUGCGUAGAUAUGCGGAGGAACACCGAUGGCGAAGGCAAUCCCCUGGACCUGUACUGACGCUCAUGCACGAAAGCGUGGGGAGCAAACA